This 485-nucleotide ribosomal RNA is filed under the name uncultured bacterium. Its description in RNAcentral is "partial 16S ribosomal RNA". It matches the Rfam family "Bacterial small subunit ribosomal RNA", at positions 899 to 1397 of the family's 1533-position model. The record is from RNAcentral.
ACUCAAAUGAAUUGACGGGGGCCCGCACAAGCAGCGGAGCGUGUGGUUUAAUUCGACGCGACGCGAAGAACCUUACCCAGGCUUGACAUGGCCGCGACAGCUUCUGAAAGGGAGUCUCCGCUUCGGCGGCGCGGUCACCGGUGUUGCAUGGCUGUCGUCAGCUCGUGCCGUGAGGUGUUGGGUUAAGUCCCGCAACGAGCGCAACCCCCGUGCCUAGUUAGGCUGUCUAGGCAGACUGCCGGCAGAGAGUCGGAGGAAGGCGGGGAUGACGUCAAGUCAGCAUGGCCCUUACGUCUGGGGCGACACACACGCUACAAUGGCCGGUACAACGGGCAGCGAGCCCGCGAGGGGGAGCUAAUCCCAGCAAAGCCGGUCUCAGUUCGGAUUGCAGGCUGCAACUCGCCUGCAUGAAGGCGGAGUUGCUAGUAACCGCCGGUCAGCACACGGCGGUGAAUAUGUUCCCGGGCCUUGUACACACCGCCCGU